Molecule: ribosomal RNA, 292 nt
Filed under: uncultured bacterium
Lineage: Bacteria
Description: partial 16S ribosomal RNA
Rfam family: Bacterial small subunit ribosomal RNA
Source: RNAcentral
GUGCCAGCCGCCGCGGUAAUACGGAGGGUGCAAGCGUUAAUCGGAAUUACUGGGCGUAAAGCGCACGUAGGUGGUUUGUUAAGCCAGCUGUGAAAUCCCCGGGCUCAACCUGGGCACUGCAGUUGGAACUGGCAAGCUAGAGUAGGGUAGAGGGGUGUGGAAUUUCAGGUGUAGCGGUGAAAUGCGUAGAUAUCUGAAGGAACAUCAGUGGCGAAGGCGACACCCUGGACUCAUACUGACACUGAGGUGCGAAAGCGUGGGGAGCAAACAGGAUUAGAAACCCGAGUAGUCC